This 1493-nucleotide ribosomal RNA is filed under the name uncultured prokaryote. RNAcentral's name for it is "partial 16S ribosomal RNA". It matches the Rfam family "Bacterial small subunit ribosomal RNA". The record is from RNAcentral.
AGAGUUUGAUCCUGGCUCAGAUUGAACGCUGGCGGCAGGCUUCAGACAUGCAAGUCGAGCGGAAACAGGCCGCUGUGAUCCCUUCGGGGUGAACUUGGUGCUGUCGAGCGGCGGACGGGUGAGUAACGCGUAGGGAUCUGCCUAACAAUGGGGGAUAGCCCGGUGAAAACCGGAUUAAUACCGCAUACGUCCUAAGGGAGAAAGGGUGCCUCUUCUGGACCUUGCACUAUUGGAUGGGCCUGCGUUGGAUUAGCUUGUUGGUAAGGUAAAGGCCUACCAAGGCUUCGAUGGAUAGCGGGUCUGAGAGGACGAUCCGCCACACUGGCACUGAGACACGGGCCAGACUCCUACGGGAGGCAGCAGUGGGGAAUCUUGCGCAAUGGGCGAAAGCCUGACGCAGCAAUGCCGCGUGAGUGAAGAAGGCCUUCGGGUCGUAAAGCUCUUUUCUCAGGGAAGAUGAUGACGGUACCUGAGGAAUAAGCACCGGCUAACUACGUGCCAGCAGCCGCGGUAAUACGUAGGGUGCGAGCGUUGUUCGGAUUUACUGGGCGUAAAGGGCGUGUAGGCGGAAUAGUAAGCUAGAGGUGAAAGCCCGGGGCUCAACCCCGGAACUGCUUCUGGAACUGCUAUUCUAGAGAGGGUCAGAGGUCAGCGGAAUUCCUGGUGUAGAGGUGGAAUGCGCAGAUAUCAGGAGGAACACCAGUGGCGAAGGCGGUGCUCUGGGCCGGUACUGACGCUGAGGAGCGAAAGCAUGGGGAGCAAACAGGAUUAGAUACCCUGGUAGUCCAUGCCGUAAACGUUGGGCACUAGGUAUGGGGUCUUAUCAACGGAUUCCGUGCCGUAGCUAACGCAUUAAGUGCCCCGCCUGGGGAGUACGGCCGCAAGGCUAAAACUCAAAGGAAUUGACGGGGGCCCGCACAAGCGGCGGAGCAUGUUGCUUAAUUCGAGGCAACGCGAAGAACCUUACCUGGGUUUGACAUGUAGGGAAAAGCCAUAGAGAUAUGGUGUCCUUUUGGGCCCUACACAGGUGGUGCAUGGCUGUCGUCAGCUCGUGUCGUGAGAUGUUGGGUUAAGUCCCGCAACGAGCGCAACCCUUGUCCUAUGUUGCCAGCGGAUAAUGCCGGGGACUCGUAGGAGACUGCCGGGGUCAACUCGGAGGAAGGUGGGGACAACGUCAAGUCAUCAUGCCCCUUAUGUCUAGGGCUGCAAACAUGCUACAAUGGCCGGUACAGAGGGCUGCAAAACCGCGAGGUUGAGCGAAUCCCACAAAGCCGGUCUCAGUUCGGAUUGGAGUCUGCAACUCGACUCCAUGAAGGCGGAGUCGCUAGUAAUCCCGGAUCAGCAACGCCGGGGUGAAUACGUUCCCGGGCCUUGUACACACCGCCCGUCACACCACGAAAGUUGGCAACACCCGAAGUCAGUGGCCGAACCCUCUGGGGCGGAGCUGCCGAAGGUGGGGUUAGCGAUUGGGGUGAAGUCUAAACAAGGUAACC